GGGUUGUUAGCUCAGUUGGUAGAGCAGUAGACUUUUAAUCUAUUGGUCGUGGGUUCGAGCCCCGCACAACCCACCA
RNAcentral lists this transfer RNA (76 nucleotides) under Rhizobacter fulvus. RNAcentral's name for it is "tRNA-Lys(ttt)". It matches the Rfam family "tRNA". Rfam says of the family: Transfer RNA (tRNA) molecules are approximately 80 nucleotides in length. Their secondary structure includes four short double-helical elements and three loops (D, anti-codon, and T loops). Further hydrogen bonds mediate the characteristic L-shaped molecular structure. tRNAs have two regions of fundamental functional importance: the anti-codon, which is responsible for specific mRNA codon recognition, and the 3' end, to which the tRNAs corresponding amino acid is attached (by aminoacyl-tRNA synthetases). tRNAs cope with the degeneracy of the genetic code in two manners: having more than one tRNA (with a specific anti-codon) for a particular amino acid; and 'wobble' base-pairing, i.e. permitting non-standard base-pairing at the 3rd anti-codon position. RNAcentral also lists the same sequence under 6 other names. The record is from RNAcentral. Lineage: Bacteria; Pseudomonadati; Pseudomonadota; Betaproteobacteria; Burkholderiales; Sphaerotilaceae.